This 1183-nucleotide long non-coding RNA is filed under the name Malus domestica (apple). Its description in RNAcentral is "long non-coding RNA (MDOM_LNC015112)". The record is from RNAcentral. Lineage: Eukaryota; Viridiplantae; Streptophyta; Magnoliopsida; Rosales; Rosaceae.
CCGGUUAGAACGAUCCCUAUUUGCUCAUAUACUACAAUUGUCAUCCAUAGGGUUUAAUUUGUGUGUCAACAUAAUUUUCACAUCACAGACGUGGAUAGCAUAUGGGCUGGACCUUUUUGGUGUUUAAAAGGUGUUAGACAUGUGCUAAAAUCUAGAGAAAUUAAAGUUGAGGCUUAGAAGGCAAGGAAUUACACAAGAAAGACGAAUCCUAGUUGGAGAGAAACAUUAUCUUAUCCUAUCUUAUCUUUUCCUAUCUUAUCCAACAUUAUCUUAUCUUAUCUCCAGCUGAAAGGAGGAAUCCUAAUCACAUUCCAACACUUUCUACCUAAUUCUUAGAGUCCUAAAAUAAUUCAAAAUGCCUAAUCCCUUUCCUCAUUGGAUUCAGUUGUUUCCCCUUAUAUAUAUGAAAUUCCUGCAAUAAUUUAAGGUGUGCCACACCUACCAUUCAUCCAUUGAAGCUGCUGGAAUUUUUAAAGUUCUUUCUAUCUUGGUUUUAAGUUUCAAUGUUUAUAUCAUAACUUGUCCCGAAACAUUUAGUUUCGACGGUGUGAAAUGAUGAUUUUACCCUUGGAUGUCGAGAUUGUGAUGUGUGUGACAUGUGUUUGGGAUGUAGACUAAUAUGUUGAAUUCCUAAGUUUUGGACUCAAGUAAAAAUUAUACUUUUGGGUUGUUUUGGUGGAUGACCAAGUGAGGACACACACACACACACACAAAAAGCACCCAUUUUUCUCUCUCUCUCCUUCUCUCGGGCUUCCUACCAUUUCCAUACAAAACGUACGGAAGAACACCAAACUCACAUUUCAUGCACGGAUCGACGCUAGAAGGUAAGAUUUGAACUCUUUGCAAGUCCCUGAGUUCAUAUAUGCCAUUUUAAACCGUGAAACCCUAAAAAACCCGAGAAACCAUCACCCCUGAUUUGAGUACUGUUCAUGUGGUCGUAAUUAUGGAUGUUUCAGGGGAUUUUAACCUCAUAUGAAGCUUUAGGAUGUUCGUACGAAGCUCGGAGAAGAAAAACCAAGCAAAUUGAACAUCGGGAAGUCGAGUUUGGAGAAAUUUGGCUGGAAUUAUCAAGCUUUUUCUGACAAGUUUUCAUGGAUUUCAAGCCUUGAAAUUGGUAACGAUGUGUUCUUCUAGUUAUGAGCUUUGAAUUGAGACCAAUUUCAUGAGUUUUGGUUAAGAAACG